This 440-nucleotide ribosomal RNA is filed under the name uncultured bacterium. Its description in RNAcentral is "bacterial SSU rRNA". It matches the Rfam family "Bacterial small subunit ribosomal RNA", at positions 338 to 769 of the family's 1533-position model. The record is from RNAcentral.
CCUACGGGUGGCAGCAGUAGGGAAUCUUCCGCAAUGGACGAAAGUCUGACGGAGCAACGCCGCGUGAACGAUGAAGGCCUUCGGGUCGUAAAGUUCUGUUGUUAGGGAAGAACAAGUACCGUUCGAAUAGGGCGGUACCUUGACGGUACCUAACCAGAAAGCCACGGCUAACUACGUGCCAGCAGCCGCGGUAAUACGUAGGUGGCAAGCGUUGUCCGGAAUUAUUGGGCGUAAAGCGCGCGCAGGCGGUUCCUUAAGUCUGAUGUGAAAGCCCACGGCUCAACCGUGGAGGGUCAUUGGAAACUGGGGAACUUGAGUGCAGAAGAGGAAAGCGGAAUUCCACGUGUAGCGGUGAAAUGCGUAGAGAUGUGGAGGAACACCAGUGGCGAAGGCGGCUUUCUGGUCUGUAACUGACGCUGAGGCGCGAAAGCGUGGGGAGC